This 430-nucleotide ribosomal RNA is filed under the name uncultured bacterium. Its description in RNAcentral is "partial 16S ribosomal RNA". It matches the Rfam family "Bacterial small subunit ribosomal RNA", at positions 354 to 796 of the family's 1533-position model. The record is from RNAcentral.
GUGGGGAAUAUUGCACAAUGGGCGAAAGCCUGAUGCAGCAACGCCGCGUGAGGGACGACGGCCUUCGGGUUGUAAACCUCUUUUAGUAGGGAAGAAGCGAAAGUGACGGUACCUGCAGAAAAAGCACCGGCUAACUACGUGCCAGCAGCCGCGGUAAUACGUAGGGUGCAAGCGUUAUCCGGAAUUAUUGGGCGUAAAGAGCUCGUAGGCGGUCUGUCGCGUCUGCUGUGAAAACUGGAGGCUCAACCUCCAGCCUGCAGUGGGUACGGGCAGACUAGAGUGCGGUAGGGGAGAUUGGAAUUCCUGGUGUAGCGGUGGAAUGCGCAGAUAUCAGGAGGAACACCGAUGGCGAAGGCAGAUCUCUGGGCCGUAACUGACGCUGAGGAGCGAAAGCGUGGGGAGCAAACAGGAUUAGAUACCCCUGUAGUCC